CAGUUUUUAAAAAAUGGGCAAGACUGGGGCGGAGAGUUCACAAAGACCAGACAUCCAAGUGGCCCGCGGACACGGAGCAGGCGCACCAGUUCAAGCCCUCGGGGCAAACACAAGUUCACGGAGACCUGGGUCACUCCAGAGCAGCUGAAAUCAGAGAAAGUGCCUGUUGCUGAUUGGGAGGGAGAGGAGCUCUUGCGCCUCUGGCGAGUGCACUCGUGAGCAGGACCCGGGGCUCUGCAUGCCCGGCCCUGGGGAGCAGCCAUCAGGAAAGCUGACAUGGCACGGGUAACCUGGGACUGCUGAUGGCGGUGCCACUGGUGGCUGCCACCUGGGAACAGCCAGGGGCCAUGCACAGGACAGAGACGGCGGUCACAGCUGGUGCGUGAGCCGCAGAAAUGCACAGGGGCGCCUGGCGGCACACACCAGGGCGCACACGCGUCACUGCACUCUUGGGACGUUUUAGAACAGACCGAAUCUUCGACUGUGACAGAGGCCAGCGGACAGGUGGCCCUUUCCAUCUUCUGAUCACUGUGCCGGCCACAUGAUGGGCCCAUUUCUCAAGUGUUCCUGGUGAAGAUGGGUGUAGGCUGACUUCAGGACCAGUGUGGUUCAUGGAGCCUUGGGGUGUGGGGAUGGCAGGGAAAGGAAUCAUUAACUGUGAGGGGCAUCGGGGUCACCUGCCAAGAUGGGAAGGCUGUGGUGGGCGGGCAGCCAGGCGAGGAGAGAGGACAAGCCGGGUCGGCCAGAGCUGGGGGUAUCUGAGGGGCAGUGGCGGGAGAAGGGUGUGCCCGGACCCAAUGGGGCUCUAGGGGUGACAAAGGAGGUUGGUUUAAUGGUAUUGGACGCUUUAAAGGGACCUCAUGCAUGAGUGCGAGACAGAGACCCAGAUGCAGUUUCAGGAAGGCCGCCUGGGGGUCGUGUGGAGAAUGGACUCAGGAGGGAGAGGGCAGAGCGGGGAGUCCAGGUGAGAAGGGGAGGUCUGGGUGUGACAGCAGUGGGAGGCUGACUGAGAGGGAUUCAAAUUCUAUCCCGGGGACAGAGAGCAUGUCCUGCUUCAUCUCCAGGACACGUUUCCUGCCUGAUCCCACACCUGCCCUGCGGGAAAGCCACCAUCACGCUCAGUACUGAGGAUCUGGGAGGAAGAAGUGGAAGCUGAGAGGCAGAGUGGGCUCAAAGGGCAGACUCGGUGCCCCAGUCUGGGUCUAGCUCCGCUGGUGCACAGAUACCGGAAGAAGCCGCUGGGGUCCUCGGAGAGCCUACCUAAGAGCCCCAGGCCGGCCUUACACAGCGCGGGGGCUUGGGACAUCAGGUCUCCGGGCUGCGAGACCGCGGCGGUCCCGGAUCCACUCCUCCGACCUCUGCU
This is a long non-coding RNA of Enhydra lutris kenyoni (northern sea otter), 1363 nucleotides long. RefSeq lists it as uncharacterized. The transcript is spliced from 3 exons. NCBI's taxonomy places the organism in Eukaryota, Metazoa, Chordata, Mammalia, Carnivora, Mustelidae. The record is from RefSeq and is a predicted model, not a curated record.